ACCUGACCGAGCGACGCCGCGUGCGGGAUCGAAGGCCCUCGGGUUGUAAACCGCUGUCGUAGGGAGGAAGGCUCCGUGAAGAGCGGGGUUUGACCUAUCCUAGGAGGAAGUACGGGCUAAGUUCGUGCCAGCAGCCGCGGUAAUACGAACCGUACAAACGUUAUUCGGAAUCACUGGGCUUAAAGGGUGCGUAGGCGGCCAUGUAAGUGAGAUGUGAAAAUCCCUCGGCUCAACCGAGGAAGUGCCUUUCAUACUGCAUGGCUUGAGGGAGACAGGGGUAAGCGGAACUGAUGGUGGAGCGGUGAAAUGCGUUGAUAUCAUCAGGAACACCGGUGGCGAAAGCGGCUUACUGGGUCUCUUCUGACGCUGAGGUACGAAAGCUAGGGGAGCGAACGGGAUUAGAUACCCCGGUAGUCCUAGCUGUAAACGAUGAGCACUUAUCUGGGGAUCCUCCCAUAGGUUCCCGGAUGUAGCGAAAGUGUUAAGUGCUCCGCCUGGGGAGUAUGGUCGCAAGGCUG
RNAcentral lists this ribosomal RNA (518 nucleotides) under uncultured Planctomycetota bacterium. RNAcentral describes it as "bacterial SSU rRNA". It matches the Rfam family "Bacterial small subunit ribosomal RNA", at positions 381 to 896 of the family's 1533-position model. Lineage: Bacteria; Pseudomonadati; Planctomycetota. The record is from RNAcentral.